UACGUAGGCAGCAAGCGUUGUUCGGAGUUACUGGGCGUAAAGGGUGUGUAGGCGGUUCCUUAAGUUUGCUGUGAAAUCUCCCGGCUUAACCGGGAGGGUGCGGUGAAUACUGAGGGACUAGAGUACGGGAGAGGAAAGUGGAAUUCCUGGUGUAGCGGUGAAAUACGUAGAUAUCAGGAGGAACACCGGUGGUGUAGACGGCUUUCUGGACCGUAACUGACGCUGAGACACGAAAGCGUGGGUAGCAAACAGG
Molecule: ribosomal RNA, 253 nt
Filed under: uncultured bacterium
Lineage: Bacteria
Description: partial 16S ribosomal RNA
Rfam family: Bacterial small subunit ribosomal RNA
Source: RNAcentral